CCUACGGGAGGCUGCAGUGGGGAAUUUUGGACAAUGGGGGCAACCCUGAUCCAGCCAUGCCGCGUGAGUGAAGAAGGCCUUCGGGUUGUAAAGCUCUUUCGGCCGGGAAGAAAUCGCAUAGGCUAAUACCCUGUGUGGAUGACGGUACCGGAAUAAGAAGCACCGGCUAACUACGUGCCAGCAGCCGCGGUAAUACGUAGGGUGCGAGCGUUAAUCGGAAUUACUGGGCGUAAAGCGUGCGCAGGCGGUUUAGUAAGACAGGCGUGAAAUCCCCGGGCUCAACCUGGGAACUGCGCUUGUGACUGCUAAGCUAGAGUACGGCAGAGGGGGGUGGAAUUCCACGUGUAGCAGUGAAAUGCGUAGAGAUGUGGAGGAACACCGAUGGCGAAGGCAGCCCCCUGGGCCGAUACUGACGCUCAUGCACGAAAGCGUGGGUAGCAAACAGGAUUAGAUACCCCGGUAGUC
This 465-nucleotide ribosomal RNA is filed under the name uncultured Rhodocyclaceae bacterium. RNAcentral describes it as "bacterial SSU rRNA". It matches the Rfam family "Bacterial small subunit ribosomal RNA", at positions 338 to 795 of the family's 1533-position model. Lineage: Bacteria; Pseudomonadati; Pseudomonadota; Betaproteobacteria; Rhodocyclales; Rhodocyclaceae. The record is from RNAcentral.